AAAUUCUGAUUUUAGGAUGAAAAUAAAUGCUAAAGUAUUGUCUCAUCAAAAUGCCAUAGUAUAGAAUGUUAAAAAUGUUGUAUUUAGGCGCAACAAAACCCCCAGCAUAUUUCAGUCCGAAAAAAAAAUGACAUAGUAAAGUAUGACCAAAAUUUCAGAUUUAAGGGUGAAAAAAAAAUUCUGAUUUUCGGAUAAAGAUGAAUGCUAUAGUAUUGUCUCAUCAAAAUGCCAUAGUAUAGAAUGUUAAAAAUGUCAUAUUUAGGUGCAAUAAAACCCAACAUAUUUUAGUCCGAAAAAAAAAACGACAUACUAUACUAUGUCGUAAAUUUCAGAUUUUAGGGUGAAAAAAAAAAAUUUCUGAUUUUAGGAUGAAAAUAAAUGCUUAAGGUUGGAGCUAGGGUUAGGGUUAGGUGUGGGGUUGGAGCUAGGGUUAGGGUUAGGGUUAGGGUUGGAGUUAGGGUUAGUGUUGGAGCUAGGGUUAGGGUUGGGCUUGGAGCUAGGAUUUUUCUGAGUGCAAUGAACCAACUCCCGAGUCUCUAGGACGUUCCUAAAAAAAUUUGAUUUUUUCCCAUAGGAAUGCAUGGGUUAGGGUUAGGGUUAGGGUUGGAGCUAGGGUUAGGGUUAGGGUUAGGGUUGGAGUUAGGGUUAGUGUUGGAGCUAGGGUUAGGGUUGGGCUUGGAGCUAGGAUUUUUCUGAGUGCACUGAACCAACUCCCGAGUCUCUAGGACGUUCCUAAAAAAAUUUGAUUUCUUCCCAUAGGAAUGCAUGGGUUAGGGUUAGGGUUAGGGUUGGAGCUAGGGUUAGGGUUAGGGUUGGAGUUAGGGUUAGUGUUGGAGCUAGGGUUAGGGUUGGGCUUGGAGCUAGGAUUUUUCUGAGUGCACUGAACCAACUCCCGAGUCUCUAGGACGUUCCUAAAAAAAUUUGAUUUUUUCCCAUGGGAAUGCAUGGGUUAGGGUUAGGGUUAGGGUUGGAGCUAGGGUUAGGGUUAGGGUUAGGGUUGGAGUUAGGGUUAGUGUUGGAGCUAGGGUUAGGGUUGGGCUUGGAGCUAGGAUUUUUCUGAGUGCACUGAACCAACUCCCGAGUCUGUAGGAUGUUCCUAAAAAAAUUUGAUUUUUUCCCAUAGGAAUGCAUGGGUUAGGGUUAGGGUUAGGGUUGGAGCUAGGGUUAGGGUUAGGGUUAGGGUUGGAGUUAGGGUUAGUGUUGGAGCUAGGGUUAGGGUUGGGCUUGGAGCUAGGAUUUUUCUGAGUGCACUGAACCAACUCCAGAGUCUCUAGGACGUUCCUAAAAAAAUUUGAUUUUUUCCCAUAGGAAUGCAUGGGUUAGGGUUAGGGUUAGGGUUGGAGCUAGGGUUAGGGUUAGGGUUAGGGUUGGAGUUAGGGUUAGUGUUUUAGCUAGGGUUAGGGUUGGGCUUGGAGCUAGGAUUUUUCUGAGUGCAAUGAACCAACUCCCGAGUCUCUAGGACGUUCCUAAAAAAAUUUGAUUUUUUCCCAUGGGAAUGCAUGGGUUAGGGUUAGGGUUAGGGUUGGAGCUAGGGUUAGGGUUAGGGUUAGGGUUGGAGUUAGGGUUAGUGUUGGAGCUAGGGUUAGGGUUGGGCUUGGAGCUAGGAUUUUUCUGAGUGCACUGAACCAACUCCCGAGUCUCUAGGACGUUCCUAAAAAAAUUUGAUUUCUUCCCAUGCGAAUGCAUGGGUUAGGGUUAGGGUUAGGGUUGGAGCUAGGGUUAGGGUUAGGGUUGGAGUUAGGGUUAGUGUUGGAGCUAGGGUUAGGGUUGGGCUUGGAGCUAGGAUUUUUCUGAGUGCACUGAACCAACUCCCGAGUCUGUAGGAUGUUCCUAAAAAAAUUUGAUUUUUUCCCAUAGGAAUGCAUGGGUUAGGGUUAGGGUUAGGGUUGGAGCUAGGGUUAGGGUUAGGGUUAGGGUUGGAGUUAGGGUUAGUGUUGGAGCUAGGGUUAGGGUUGGGCUUGGAGCUAGGAUUUUUCUGAGUGCACUGAACCAACUCCCGAGUCUCUAGGACGUUCCUAAAAAAUUUGAUUUCUUCCCAUAGGAAUGCAUGGGUUAGGGUUAGGGUUAGGGUUGGAGCUAGGGUUAGGGUUAGGGUUAGGGUUGGAGUUAGGGUUGGGCUUGGAGCUAGGAUUUUUCUGAGUGCACUGAACCAACUCCCGAGUCUCUAGGACGUUCCUAAAAAAAUUUGAUUUUUUCCCAUAGGAAUGCAUGGGUUAGGGUUAGGGUUAGGGUUGGAGCUAGGGUUAGGGUUAGGGUUAGGGUUGGAGUUAGGGUUAGUGUUGGAGCUAGGGUUAGGGUUGGGCUUGGAGCUAGGAUUUUUCUGAGUGCACUGAACCAACUCCCGAGUCUCUAGGACGUUCCUAAAAAAAUUUGAUUUCUUCCCAUAGGAAUGCAUGGGUUAGGGUUAGGGUUAGGGUUGGAGCUAGGGUUAGGGUUAGGGUUAGGGUUGGAGUUAGGGUUAGUGUUGGAGCUAGGGUUAGGGUUGGGCUUGGAGCUAGGAUUUUUCUGAGUGCACUGAACCAACUCCCGAGUCUCUAGGACGUUCCUAAAAAAAUUUGAUUUUUUCCCAUAGGAAUGCAUGGGUUAGGGUUAGGGUUGGAGCUAGGGUUAGGGUUAGGGUUAGGGUUGGAGUUAGGGUUAGUGUUGGAGCUAGGGUUAGGGUUGGGCUUGGAGCUAGGAUUUUUCUGAGUGCACUGAACCAACUCCCGAGUCUCUAGGACGUUCCUAAAAAAAUUUGAUUUUUUCCCAUAGGAAUGCAUGGGUUAGGGUUAGGGUUAGGGUUGGAGCUAGGGUUAGGGUUAGGGUUAGGGUUGGAGUUAGGGUUUGUGUUGGAGCUAGGGUUAGGGUUGGGCUUGGAGCUAGGAUUUUUCUGAGUGCACUGAACCAACUCCCGAGUCUCUAGGACGUUCCUAAAAAAAUUUGAUUUCUUCCCAUAGGAAUGCAUGGGUUAGGGUUAGGGUUAGGGUUGGAGCUAGGGUUAGGGUUAGGGUUAGGGUUGGAGUUAGGGUUAGUGUUGGAGCUAGGGUUAGGGUUGGGCUUGGAGCUAGGAUUUUUCUGAGUGCACUGAACCAACUCCCGAGUCUCUAGGUCGUUCCUAAAAAAAUUUGAUUUCUUCCCAUAGGAAUGCAUGGGUUAGGGUUAGGGUUAGGGUUGGAGCUAGGGUUAGGGUUAGGGUUAGGGUUGGAGUUAGGGUUAGUGUUGGAGCUAGGGUUAGGGUUGGGCUUGGAGCUAGGAUUUUUCUGAGUGCACUGAACCAACUCCCGAGUCUGUAGGAUGUUCCUAAAAAAAUUUGAUUUUUUCCCAUAGGAAUGCAUGGGUUAGGGUUAGGGUUAGGGUUGGAGCUAGGGUUAGGGUUAGGGUUAGGGUUGGAGUUAGGGUUAGUGUUGGAGCUAGGGUUAGGGUUGGGCUUGGAGCUAGGAUUUUUCUGAGUGCACUGAACCAACUCCCGAGUCUCUAGGACGUUCCUAAAAAAAUUUGAUUUUUUCCCAUGGGAAUGCAUGGGUUAGGGUUAGGGUUAGGGUUGGAGCUAGGGUUAGGGUUAGGGUUAGGGUUGGAGUUAGGGUUAGUGUUUUAGCUAGGGUUAGGGUUGGGCUUGGAGCUAGGAUUUUUCUGAGUGCAAUGAACCAACUCCCGAGUCUCUAGGACGUUCCUAAAAAAAUUUGAUUUUUUCCCAUGGGAAUGCAUGGGUUAGGGUUAGGGUUAGGGUUGGAGCUAGGGUUAGGGUUAGGGUUAGGGUUGGAGUUAGGGUUAGUGUUGGAGCUAGGGUUAGGGUUGGGCUUGGAGCUAGGAUUUUUCUGAGUGCACUGAACCAACUCCCGAGUCUCUAGGACGUUCCUAAAAAAAUUUGAUUUCUUCCCAUAGGAAUGCAUGGGUUAGGGUUAGGGUUAGGGUUGGAGCUAGGGUUAGGGUUAGGGUUAGGGUUGGAGUUAGGGUUAGUGUUGGAGCUAGGGUUAGGGUUGGGCUUGGAGCUAGGAUUUUUCUGAGUGCACUGAACCAACUCCCGAGUCUCUAGGACGUUCCUAAAAAAAUUUGAUUUUUUCCCAUGGGAAUGCAUGGGUUAGGGUUAGGGUUAGGGUUGGAGCUAGGGUUAGGGUUAGGUGUGGGUAAGAGAUACAGUGAUAGCCCCCGCUUUCGUCUGUUGACUUGGCGGUUUGGGGUAGGCUAAUCAAGGGCUUGCACUGGCCGUCGCAUGUCGACCUGUCACAUGUUCCCAGUCGAGUCUCCGAGCCCAAUCUGUGAGUAAAAAACUAUGUGUGGGUAGGAAGUUUAAUUACUCAGCUCAGUUGGUAUGCUAUGCUGUCUAUCUUUUAGACUAUGUGUUUGUAGAGCCAUUAUUUUUUGAGGUUCAGUUAGGAGUUAGAGUUGGUAUGGUUACCAGUUAAAACAAUAAUAAUAAUAAUAAUAAUAAUAAUAAUAAUAAUAAUAAUAAUAAUGGUAAUAACAAUAAUUAUACUAAUAAUAAUAAUAAUAAAAGUAAUAAUUGUGUUUAUUGAGAAGGACUAGGUGAUAUUAGUAGGGAGGGAAAAGGGUGAAAUUUACCUAAGAGAGUAGGGUUAGGAUGCGUUAGUACAAAGUCUCAGAGGAUGGGGAGAGGGAGAAACAGGUGGUCUGGAUUAAAACCAUUCUGUUUCUACAGGGAUUCGAGUGAUAGAGAGAGAAUAGAACUUGCCACAGUGACUAGCCAGAGAAACUCUCCUCACCUGUUGCUUUUCAACCUCUGAUACGAAAAAGGAGGGUGGGGUGAUUAAGUUAAGAUAGAGGUUAGUAAGGUUAGGGUUGGGGUUAGAUUUAGGGUUUAGGGGUUAGGGGUUAGGGUUAGGGUUAGGGUUAGGGUAAGGGUUAGGGUUAGGGUUAGGGUUAGGGUUAGAUUUAGGGUCUAGAGGUUAGGGUUAGGGUUAGGGUCAGGGUAAGGGUUAGAUUUAGGGUUUUAGGGGUUAGGGUUAGGGUUAGGGUUAGGGUUAGGGGUUAGGGUUAGGGUUAGGGUUAGGGUUAGGGUUAGAUUUAGGGUUAGGGUUAGGGUUAGGGUUAGGGGGUUAGGGUUAGGUGUGGGUAAGAGAUACAGUGAUAGCCCCCGCUUUCGUCUGUUGACUUGGCGGUUUGGGGUAGGCUAAUCAAGGGCUUGCACUGGCCGUCGCAUGUCGACCUGUCACAUGUUCCCAGUCGAGUCUCCGAGCCCAAUCUGUGAGUAAAAAACUAUGUGUGGGUAGGAAGUUUAAUUACUCAGCUCAGUUGGUAUGCUAUGCUGUCUAUCUUUUAGACUAUGUGUUUGUAGAGCCAUUAUUUUUUGAGGUUCAGUUAGGAGUUAGAGUUGGUAUGGUUACCAGUUAAAACAAUAAUAAUAAUAAUAAUAAUAAUAAUAAUAAUAAUAAUGGUAAUAACAAUAAUUAUACUAAUAAUAAUAAUAAUAAUAAAAGUAAUAAUUGUGUUUAUUGAGAAGGACUAGGUGAUAUUAGUAGGGAGGGAAAAGGGUGAAAUUUACCUAAGAGAGUAGGGUUAGGAUGCGUUAGUACAAAGUCUCAGAGGAUGGGGAGAGGGAGAAACAGGUGGUCUGGAUUAAAACCAUUCUGUUUCUACAGGGAUUCGAGUGAUAGAGAAAGAAUAGAACUUGCCACAGUGACUAGCCAGAGAAACUCUCCUCACCUGUUGCUUUUCAACCUCUGAUACGAAAAAGGAGGGUGGGGUGAUUAAGUUAAGAUAGAGGUUAGUAAGGUUAGGGUUGGGGUUAGAUUUUAGGGUUUAGGGGUUAGGGGUUAGGGUUAGGGUUAGGGUUAGGGUUAGGGUAAGGGUUAGGGUUAGGGUUAGGGUUAGAUUUAGGGUCUAGAGGUUAGGGUUAGGGUUAGGGUCAGGGUAAGGGUUAGAUUUAGGGUUUUAGGGGUUAGGGUUAGGGUUAGGGUUAGGGUUAGGGUUAGGGUUAGGGUUAGGGUUAGGGUUAGGGUUAGGGUUAGCGUUAGGGCUAGGGUUAGGGUUAGGGUUAGGGGUUAGGGUUAGGUGUGGGUAAGAUACAGUGAUAGCCCCCGCUUUCGUCUGUUGACUUGGCGGUUUGGGGUAGGCUAAUCAAGGGCUUGCACUGGCCGUCGCAUGUCGACCUGUCACAUGUUCCCAGUCGAGUCUCCGAGCCCAAUCUGUGAGUAAAAAACUAUGUGUGGGUAGGAAGUUUAAUUACUCAGCUCAGUUGGUAUGCUAUGCUGUCUAUCUUUUAGACUAUGUGUUUGUAGAGCCAUUAUUUUUUGAGGUUCAGUUAGGAGUUAGAGUUGGUAUGGUUACCAGUUAAAACAAUAAUAAUAAUAAUAAUAAUAAUAAUAAUAAUAAUAAUGGUAAUAACAAUAAUUAUACUAAUAAUAAUAAUAAUAAUAAAAGUAAUAAUUUUAUUUAUUGAGAAGGACUAGGUGAUAUUAGUAGGGAGGGAAAAGGGUGAAAUUUACCUAAGAGAGUAGGGUUAGGAUGCGUUAGUACAAAGUCUCAGAGGAUGGGGAGAGGGAGAAACAGGUGGUCUGGAUUAAAACCAUUCUGUUUCUACAGGGAUUCGAGUGAUAGAGAAAGAAUAGAACUUGCCACAGUGACUAGCCAGAGAAACUCUCCUCACCUGUUGCUUUUCAUCCUCUGAUACGAAAAAGGAGGGUGGGGUGAUUAAGUUAAGAUAGAGGUUAGUAAGGUUAGGGUUGGGGUUAGAUUUAGGGUUUAGGGGUUAGGGGUUAGGGUUAGGGUUAGGGUUAGGGUAAGGGUUAGGGUUAGGGUUAGGGUUAGGGUUAGAUUUAGGGUCUAGAGGUUAGGGUUAGGGUUAGGGUCAGGGUAAGGGUUAGAUUUAGGGUUUUAGGGGUUAGGGUUAGGGUUAGGGUUAGGGUUAGGGUUAGAUUUAGGAUCUAGAGGUUAGGGUUAGGGUAAGGGUUAGGGUUAGGGUUAGGGUUAGAUUUAGGGUUUAGGGUUAGAUUUAGGGUUAAGAGGGUUAGGGUUGGAUUUAGGUUCUAGAGGUUAGGGUUAGGGUGAGGGUGAUGUUUAUGGUUAGUGCCUGAAGAGAGCUAACCAUGGCUAUUUAAAAGAAUUAAAAUUCAAAGAAUACGACACUUCAGAUUGUCUAGACUCUGGACUCUGCUAAAGGUAGCAAAGCUAUGGUUGAAAGUACUGAAAAUGCAGUAUAAAAUAUAUAAGGUUAGUUACUAAUUCUUAUUGAUAAAUUUUAGUUCAGAGUCAAAAGUGGAUGGUCCCGUGUAGAACCUUCUGUUCCACUCAGGCCUGUGUAGGCCAAAGACCCUGCUAAGGUCCCUCAAGGCUGUGACCUAAAAUUAUUUUUGAUUAAAUUGGAAAUCUAAAUUAUUACUUUUUAAUAAAUUUUAAUUCAGAGUCAAAAGUGGAUGGUCCCGUGUAGAACCUUCUGUUCCACUCAGGCCUGUCUAGGCCAAAGACCCUGCUAAGCUUCCCUUAAGGCUGUGACCUAAAAUAAUUUUUGAAUUGGAAAUAUUUAUAAAUUAUUCUUUUAAAUAAUUUUUUAAUUCAGAGUCAAAAGUGGAUGGUCCCGUUUAGAACCUUCUUCCACUCAGACCUGUCUAGGUCAAAGACUCUGCUAAGAUUCCUCAAGGUUGUGGACUAAGAUAAUUUUGAGUUGGAAGUAUUUAUAAAUUAUUCCUUUUAAUAAAUUUUUAAUUAAUUUUUUAAUUAAUUUUUUAAUUCAGAGUCAAAAGUGGAUGGUCCCGUAUAGAACCUUCUGUUCCACUCAGGCCUGUGUAGGCUAGAGACCCUGCUAAGCUUCCUCAAGGCUGUGACCUACAAUAAUUUUAGAUUGAAUUGGGUGUAAUAAUAAAUUAUUCCUUUUUAAUAUAUUUUUUAUUCAGAGUCAAAAGUGGAUGGUCCUGUGUAGAACCUUCUGUUCCACUCAGGCCUGUGUAGGCCAGAGACCCUGCUAAGCUUCCUCAAGGCUGUGACCUAAAAUAAUUUUUAGAUUGAAUUGGGUAUAUUAAUCAAUUAUUCCUUUUUAAUAAAUUUUUAAUUCAGAGUCAAAAGUGGAUGGUCCCGUGUAGAACCUUCUGUUCCACUCAGGCCUGUGUAGGCCAAAGACCCUGCUAAGCUCCCUCAAGACUGUGACCUAAAAUAAUUUUAGAUUGAAUUGGGUAUAUUUAAAAAAUUAUUCCUUUUUAAUAUAUAUUUUUUUAUUUAUUUCAGAGUCAAAAGUGGAUGGUCCCGUGUAGAACCUUCUGUUCCACUCAGACCUGUCUAGGUCAAAGACUCUGCUAAGCUCCCUCAAGGCUGUGACCUAAAAUAAUUUUUGAAUUGGAAAUAUUUAUAAAUUAUUCUUUUAAAUAAAUUUUUAAUUUUUUUAAUUCAGAGUCAAAAGUGGAUGGUCCCGUGUAGAACCUUCUGUUCCACUCAGGCCUGUCUAGGCCAAAGACCCUGCUAAGCUUCCCUUAAGGCUGUGACCUAAAUUAAUUUUUUGAAUUAGAAAUAUUUAUAAAUUAUUAUUUUGAAUAAUUUUUAAUUUAGAGUCAAAAGUGGAUGGUCCCGUGUAGAACCUUCUGUUCCACUCUGACCUGUCUAGGUCAAAGACUCUGCUAAGCUCCCUCAAGGCUGUGAACUAAAAUAAUUUUUAAUUCGAAGUAUUCCUAAAUUAUUCCUUUUAAUAAAUCUUUAAUUCAGAGUCAAAAGUGGAUGGUCCCGUGUAGAACCUUCUGUUCCACUCAGGCCCGUCUAGGCCCAAGACCCUGCUAAGCUUCCUCAAGGCUGUGAUCUACAAUAAUUUUAGAUUGAAUGGGGUAUGUUUAAAAAUUAUUAUUUUUUUCACAAUUUUUUAAUUUAGAGUCAAAAGUGGAUGGUCCUGUGUAGAACCUUCUGUUCCACUCAGGCCUGUUUAGGCCAAAGACCCUGAUAAGGUCCCUCAAGGCUGUGACCUAAAAUUAUUUUGGAUUGAACUGGGUAUAUUUAUAAAUUAUUAUAUUUUAAUAAAUUUUUAAUUCAGAGUCACAAGUGGAUGGUCCCAUGUAGAACCUUCUGUUCCACUCAGGCCUGUGUAGGCCCAAGACCCCGCUAAUCUCCCUAACGCUGUGACCUAAAAUCAACUUAAGUUAAAUCAGAGGUGUUAUUUAUAAAUUAUUUGAAAAUAUUACUGCAGAGUUAAGUGUUAAUGUUAUCAAUAAUUUUAUUAAUUUAAUUUUAUUAAUUUUUGAUUAAUUAAUAGAAUUAUUGGUCCAGAGUAUCGACUUUUCAGAAGGUUGUAUUGUUGUAGAUGGAUAAGUUUGAAAUUAAUUGGAGAUUUUUUUUAUGAAUUAUCUAAGAGCUAGGUAUAACUGUAAAUUAUUAUUUCAGGGUUAAGCAAUUAGAUAGGAAUUGUAGUUUAGGUAUCGGACUAUUCUACAGGUACAUUACAUGAUUAAAGCAAUUUUGAGUUAGAUAAGUAAGGUUAGCUCCCCAAUUUAUUGCCUACGGGUUUAAAUUGGAAUGUUGUAUGAAAUUGUGUCAUCAGUGUGUACGUUGUUUAUUUUGUUAAAAAGUACAAGCAGGAACUGUUAAAGUUACAUCUAACAUUGGAUUAAUAUUCUAGUAAAAUUGAGUAUAAAUUGUAACUUUGAUUGCAGUGGAACCAAAUUUUUUUAUAUUUAAUUCACAAUUUUAAGAAUAAAAGAAUUAAAAAAAUAAUAAAAAUGGCGAUCUAAGUGCACCUACUUGAAUUAAAAAGCAAAUUAGAAUGAAAAACAGAAGAAAAAAUUUAGUGUAUAGUUGUUCCAAAACAUUUUUAAUUUGUUCAAAAUGGGAGGUACAAUAUACAGGUAGGGGAAAUUAAUAGGAAAAAUAAAAAUAAAAAGUAAAAUUGCCCAAUAAAAUUAAUAAAUUAUAAGGUCUGGGAUAAACAGUGGAAUGUACAAAGUUUAUCAAAUUGGAAAGUGGGGAAUACUGGAGUGGCAAAAAACGAAAGGUGAAAUAAAAUCUGUCAAAAACUGGACCCAGUGAUCAAAAGGUGGAAAAUACGAGUUUGGUAAAUGGUUAAGUACUGAAAUGCUAUGUUAGAAUAGAAAUUAAGGUAAACCAAAAGGAGGUGCGGGUUUUAUGGACCUUUAUUCAUGCACCCAGAUAAAUCGACACUCAAAAUAGAAGACAAGAGGACCAGAUUGUGUUUAGGUAAGUGAUUCUUGAAUUAUUUUAAGACCUAUCUGGUUUUUUUUUUUUUUUUUUUUUUUUUUUUUUAAAGUUUUUGAAUAGACCUUUACAUUGACCCAGCGCUGGUUUUAGACAUUAAAUUUCAGGACACGUCCUCAGUAGUGGACCUUUAGGGUUAGGGUUGGAGUUAGGGUUAGUGUUGGAGCUAGGGUUAGGGUUUGGCUUGGAGCUAGGAUUUUUCUGAGUGCACUGAACCAACUCCCGAGUCUCUAGGACGUUCCUAAAAAAAUUUGAUUUCUUCCCAUAGGAAUGCAUGGGUUAGGGUUAGGGUUAGGGUUGGAGCUAGGGUUAGGGUUAGGGUUAGGGUUGGAGUUAGGGUUUGUGUUGGAGCUAGGGUUAGGGUUGGGCUUGGAGCUAGGAUUUUUCUGAGUGCACUGAACCAACUCCCGAGUCUCUAGGACGUUCCUAAAAAAAUUUGAUUUCUUCCCAUAGGAAUGCAUGGGUUAGGGUUAGGGUUAGGGUUGGAGCUAGGGUUAGGGUUAGGGUUAGGGUUGGAGUUAGGGUUAGUGUUGGAGCUAGGGUUAGGGUUGGGCUUGGAGCUAGGAUUUUUCUGAGUGCACUGAACCAACUCCCGAGUCUCUAGGACGUUCCUAAAAAAAUUUGAUUUUUUCCCAUAGGAAUGCAUGGGUUAGGGUUAGGGUUAGGGUUGGAGCUAGGGUUAGGGUUAGGGUUAGGGUUGGAGUUAGGGUUAGUGUUGGAGCUAGGGUUAGGGUUGGGCUUGGAGCUAGGAUUUUUCUGAGUGCACUGAACCAACUCCCGAGUCUCUAGGACGUUCCUAAAAAAAUUUGAUUUUUCCCAUAGGAAUGCAUGGGUUAGGGUUAGGGUUAGGGUUGGAGCUAGGGUUAGGGUUAGGGUUAGGGUUGGAGUUAGGGUUAGUGUUGGAGCUAGGGUUAGGGUUGGGCUUGGAGCUAGGAUUUUUCUGAGUGCACUGAACCAACUCCCGAGUCUGUAGGAUGUUCCUAAAAAAAUUUGAUUUCUUCCCAUAGGAAUGCAUGGGUUAGGGUUAGGGUUAGGGUUGGAGCUAGGGUUAGGGUUAGGGUUAGGGUUGGAGUUAGGGUUAGUGUUGGAGCUAGGGUUAGGGUUGGGCUUGGAGCUAGGAUUUUUCUGAGUGCACUGAACCAACUCCCGAGUCUCUAGGACGUUCCUAAAAAAAUUUGAUUUUUUCCCAUAGGAAUGCAUGGGUUAGGGUUAGGGUUAGGGUUGGAGCUAGGGUUAGGGUUAGGGUUAGGGUUGGAGUUAGUGUUUGUGUUGGAGCUAGGGUUAGGGUUGGGCUUGGAGCUAGGAUUUUUCUGAGUGCACUGAACCAACUCCCGAGUCUCUAGGACGUUCCUAAAAAAAUUUGAUUUCUUCCCAUAGGAAUGCAUGGGUUAGGGUUAGGGUUAGGGUUGGAGCUAGGGUUAGGGUUAGGGUUAGGGUUGGAGUUAGGGUUAGUGUUGGAGCUAGGGUUAGGGUUGGGCUUGGAGCUAGGAUUUUUCUGAGUGCACUGAACCAACUCCCGAAUCUCUAGGACGUUCCUAAAAAAAUUUGAUUUCUUCCCAUAGGAAUGCAUGGGUUAGGGUUAGGGUUAGGGUUGGAGCUAGGGUUAGGGUUAGGGUUAGGGUUGGAGUUAGGGUUAGUGUUGGAGCUAGGGUUAGGGUUGGGCUUGGAGCUAGGAUUUUUCUGAGUGCACUGAACCAACUCCCGAGUCUCUAGGACGUUCCUAAAAAAAUUUGAUUUUUUCCCAUAGGAAUGCAUGGGUUAGGGUUAGGGUUAGGGUUGGAGCUAGGGUUAGGGUUAGGGUUAGGGUUGGAGUUAGGGUUAGUGUUGGAGCUAGGGUUAGGGUUAGGCUUGGAGCUAGGAUUUUUCUGAGUGCACUGAACCAACUCCCGAGUCUCUAGGACGUUCCUAAAAAAAUUUGAUUUUUUCCCAUAGGAAUGCAUGGGUUAGGGUUAGGGUUAGGGUUGGAGCUAGGGUUAGGGUUAGGGUUAGGGUUGGAGUUAGGGUUUGUGUUGGAGCUAGGGUUAGGGUUGGGCUUGGAGCUAGGAUUUUUCUGAGUGCACUGAACCAACUCCCGAGUCUCUAGGACGUUCCUAAAAAAAUUUGAUUUCUUCCCAUAGGAAUGCAUGGGUUAGGGUUAGGGUUAGGGUUGGAGCUAGGGUUAGGGUUAGGGUUAGGGUUGGAGUUAGGGUUAGUGUUGGAGCUAGGGUUAGGGUUGGGCUUGGAGCUAGGAUUUUUCUGAGUGCACUGAACCAACUCCCGAGUCUCUAGGACGUUCCUAAAAAAAUUUGAUUUCUUCCCAUGGGAAUGCAUGGGUUAGGGUUAGGGUUAGGGUUGGAGCUAGGGUUAGGGUUAGGGUUAGGGUUGGAGUUAGGGUUAGUGUUGGAGCUAGGGUUAGGGUUGGGCUUGGAGCUAGAAUUUUUCUGAGUGCAAUGAACCAACUCCCGAGUCUCUAGGACGUUCCUAAAAAAAUUUGAUUUUUUCCCAUGGGAAUGCAUGGGUUAGGGUUAGGGUUGGAGCUAGGGUUAGGGUUAGGGUUAGGGUUGGAGUUAGGGUUAGUGUUGGAGCUAGGGUUAGGGUUGGGCUUGGAGCUAGGAUUUUUCUGAGUGCACUGAACCAACUCCCGAGUCUCUAGGACGUUCCUAAAAAAAUUUGAUUUCUUCCCAUAGGAAUGCAUGGGUUAGGGUUAGGGUUAGGGUUGGAGCUAGGGUUAGGGUUAGGGUUAGGGUUGGAGUUAGGGUUAGUGUUGGAGCUAGGGUUAGGGUUGGGCUUGGAGCUAGGAUUUUUCUGAGUGCACUGAACCAACUCCCGAGUCUCUAGGACGUUCCUAAAAAAAUUUGAUUUUUUUCCCAUAGGAAUGCAUGGGUUAGGGUUAGGGUUAGGGUUGGAGCUAGGGUUAGGGUUAGGGUUAGGGUUGGAGUUAGGGUUAGUGUUGGAGCUAGGGUUAGGGUUGGGCUUGGAGCUAGUAUUUUUCUGAGUGCACUGAACCAACUCCCGAGUUUCUAGGACGUUCCUAAAAAAAUUUGAUUUUUUCCCAUAGGAAUGCAUGGGUUAGGGUUAGGGUUAGGGUUGGAGCUAGGGUUAGGGUUAGGGUUAGGGUUGGAGUUAGGGUUAGUGUUGGAGCUAGGGUUAGGGUUGGGCUUGGAGCUACGAUUUUUCUGAGUGCAAUGAACCAACUCCCGAGUCUCUAGGACGUUCCUAAAGAAAUUUGAUUUUUUCCCAUGGGAAUGCAUGGGUUAGGGUUAGGGUUAGGGUUGGAGCUAGGGUUAGGGUUAGGGUUAGGGUUGGAGUUAGGGUUAGUGUUGGAGCUAGGGUUAGGGUUGGGCUUGGAGCUAGGAUUUUUCUGAGUGCACUGAACCAACUCCCGAGUCUCUAGGACGUUCCUAAAAAAAUUUGAUUUCUUCCCAUAGGAAUGCAUGGGUUAGGGUUAGGGUUAGGGUUGGAGCUAGGGUUAGGGUUAGGGUUAGGGUUGGAGUUAGGGUUAGUGUUGGAGCUAGGGUUAGGGUUGGGCUUGGAGCUAGGAUUUUUCUGAGUGCACUGAACCAACUCCCGAGUCUCUAGGACGUUCCUAAAAAAAUUUGAUUUUUCCCAUAGGAAUGCAUGGGUUAGGGUUAGGGUUAGGGUUGGAGCUAGGGUUAGGGUUAGGGUUAGGGUUGGAGUUAGGGUUAGUGUUGGAGCUAGGGUUAGGGUUGGGCUUGGAGCUAGGAUUUUUCUGAGUGCACUGAACCAACUCCCGAGUCUCUAGGACGUUCCUAAAAAAAUUUGAUUUUUUCCCAUAGGAAUGCAUGGGUUAGGGUUAGGGUUAGGGUUGGAGCUAGGGUUAGGGUUAGGGUUAGGGUUGGAGUUAGGGUUAGUGUUGGAGCUAGGGUUAGGGUUGGGCUUGGAGCUAGGAUUUUUCUGAGUGCACUGAACCAACUCCCGAGUCUCUAGGAGUUCCUAAAAAAAUUUGAUUUUUUCCCAUAGGAAUGCAUGGGUUAGGGUUAGGGUUAGGGUUGGAGCUAGGGUUAGGGUUAGGGUUAGGGUUGGAGUUAGGGUUAGUGUUGGAGCUAGGGUUAGGGUUGGGCUUGGAGCUAGGAUUUUUCUGAGUGCACUGAACCAACUCCCGAGUCUCUAGGACGUUCCUAAAAAAAUUUGAUUUUUUCCCAUGGGAAUGCAUGGGUUAGGGUUAGGGUUAGGGUUGGAGCUAGGGUUAGGGUUAGGGUUAGGGUUGGAGUUAGGGUUAGUGUUGGAGCUAGGGUUAGGGUUGGGCUUGGAGCUAGGAUUUUUCUGAGUGCACUGAACCAACUCCCGAGUCUCUAGGACGUUCCUAAAAAAAUUUGAUUUUUCCCAUAGGAAUGCAUGGGUUAGGGUUAGGGUUAGGGUUGGAGCUAGGGUUAGGGUUAGGGUUAGGGUUGGAGUUAGGGUUAGUGUUGGAGCUAGGGUUAGGGUUGGGCUUGGAGCUAGGAUUUUUCUGAGUGCACUGAACCAACUCCCGAGUCUCUAGGACGUUCCUAAAAAAAUUUGAUUUCUUCCCAUAGGAAUGCAUGGGUUAGGGUUAGGGUUAGGGUUGGAGCUAGGGUUAGGGUUAGGGUUAGGGUUGGAGUUAGGGUUAGUGUUGGAGCUAGGGUUAGGGUUGGGCUUGGAGCUAGGAUUUUUCUGAGUGCACUGAACCAACUCCCGAGUCUCUAGGACGUUCCUAAAAAAAUUUGAUUUUUUCCCAUAGGAAUGCAUGGGUUAGGGUUAGGGUUAGGGUUAGGGUUGGAGUUAGGGUUAGUGUUGGAGCUAGGGUUAGGGUUGGGCUUGGAGCUAGGAUUUUUCUGAGUGCACUGAACCAACUCCAGAGUCUGUAGGAUGUUCCUAAAAAAAUUUGAUUUUUUCCCAUAGGAAUGCAUGGGUUAGGGUUAGGGUUAGGGUUGGAGCUAGGGUUAGGGUUAGGGUUAGGGUUGGAGUUAGGGUUAGUGUUGGAGCUAGGGUUAGGGUUGGGCUUGGAGCUAGGGUUUUUCUGAGUGCACUGAACCAACUCCCGAGUCUGUAGGAUGUUCCUAAAAAAAUUUGAUUUUUUCCCAUAGGAAUGCAUGGGUUAGGGUUAGGGUUAGGGUUAGGGUUGGAGCUAGGGUUAGGGUUAGGGUUAGGGUUGGAGUUAGGGUUAGUGUUGGAGCUAGGGUGAGCGUUGGGCUUGGAGCUAGGAUUUUUCUGAGUGCAAUGAACCAACUCCCGAGUCUCUAGGACGUUCCUAAAAAAAUCUGAUUUUUUCCCAUGGGAAUGCAUGGGUUAGGGUUAGGGUUAGGGUUGGAGCUAGGGUUAGGGUUAGGGUUAGGGUUGGAGUUAGGGUUAGUGUUGGAGCUAGGGUUAGGGUUGGGCUUGGAGCUAGGAUUUUUCUGAGUGCACUGAACCAACUCCCGAGUCUGUAGGAUGUUCCUAAAAAAAUUUGAUUUUUUCCCAUAGGAAUGCAUGGGUUAGGGUUAGGGUUAGGGUUAGGGUUGGAGCUAGGGUUAGGGUUAGGGUUAGGGUUGGAGUUAGGGUUAGUGUUGGAUCUAGGGUUAGGGUUGGGCUUGGAGCUAGGAUUUUUCUGAGUGCAAUGAACCAACUCCCGAGUCUCUAGGACGUUCCUAAAAAAAAUUGAUUUUUUCCCAUAGGAAUUCAUGGGUUAGGGUUAGGGUUAGGGUUGGAGCAAGGGUUAGGGUUAGGGUUAGGGUUGGAGUUAGGGUUAGUGUUGGAGCUAGGGUUAGGGUUGUGCUUGGAGCUAGGAUUUUUCUGAGUGCACUGAACCAACUCCCGAGUCUCUAGGACGUUCCUAAAAAAAUUUGAUUUUUUCCCAUAGGAAUGCAUGGGUUAGGGUUAGGGUUAGGGUUGGAGCUAGGGUUAGGGUUAGGGUUAGGGUUGGAGUUAGGGUUAGUGUUGGAGCUAGGGUUAGGGUUGGGCUUGGAGCUAGGAUUUUUCUGAGUGCACUGAACCAACUCCCGAGUCUCUAGGACGUUCCUAAAAAAAUUUGAUUUUUUCCCAUAGGAAUGCAUGGGUUAGGGUUAGGGUUAGGGUUGGAGCUAGGGUUAGGGUUAGGGUUAGGGUUGGAGUUAGGGUUAGUGUUUUAGCUAGGGUUAGGGUUGGGCUUGGAGCUAGGAUUUUUCUGAGUGCAAUGAACCAACUCCCGAGUCUCUAGGACGUUCCUAAAAAAAUUUGAUUUUUUCCCAUGGGAAUGCAUGGGUUAGGGUUAGGGUUAGGGUUGGAGCUAGGGUUAGGGUUAGGGUUAGGGUUGGAGUUAGGGUUAGUGUUGGAGCUAGGGUUAGGGUUGGGCUUGGAGCUAGGAUUUUUCUGAGUGCACUGAACCAACUCCCGAGUCUCUAGGACGUUCCUAAAAAAAUUUGAUUUCUUCCCAUAGGAAUGCAUGGGUUAGGGUUAGGGUUAGGGUUGGAGCUAGGGUUAGGGUUAGGGUUAGGGUUGGAGUUAGGGUUAGUGUUGGAGCUAGGGUUAGGGUUGGGCUUGGAGCUAGGAUUUUUCUGAGUGCACUGAACCAACUCCAGAGUCUGUAGGAUGUUCCUAAAAAAAUUUGAUUUUUUCCCAUAGGAAUGCAUGGGUUAGGGUUAGGGUUAGGGUUGGAGCUAGGGUUAGGGUUAGGGUUAGGGUUGGAGUUAGGGUUAGUGUUGGAGCUAGGGUUAGGGUUGGGCUUGGAGCUAGGAUUUUUCUGAGUGCAAUGAACCAACUCCCGAGUCUCUAGGACGUUCCUAAAAAAAUUUGAUUUUUUCCCAUGGGAAUGCAUGGGUUAGGGUUAGGGUUGGAGCUAGGGUUAGGGUUAGGGUUAGGGUUGGAGUUAGGGUUAGUGUUGGAGCUAGGGUUAGGGUUGGGCUUGGAGCUAGGAUUUUUCUGAGUGCACUGAACCAACUCCCGAGUCUCUAGGACGUUCCUAAAAAAAUUUGAUUUUUUCCCAUGGGAAUGCAUGGGUUAGGGUUAGGGUUGGAGCUAGGGUUAGGGUUAGGGUUAGGGUUGGAGUUAGGGUUAGUGUUGGAGCUAGGGUUAGGGUUGGGCUUGGAGCUAGGAUUUUUCUGAGUGCACUGAACCAACUCCCGAGUCUCUAGGACGUUCCUAAAAAAAUUUGAUUUUUCCCAUAGGAAUGCAUGGGUUAGGGUUAGGGUUAGGGUUGGAGCUAGGGUUAGGGUUAGGGUUAGGGUUGGAGUUAGGGUUAGUGUUGGAGCUAGGGUUAGGGUUGGGCUUGGAGCUAGGAUUUUUCUGAGUGCACUGAACCAACUCCCGAGUCUCUAGGACGUUCCUAAAAAAAAUUUGAUUUUUUCCCAUAGGAAUGCAUGGGUUAGGGUUAGGGUUAGGGUUGGAGCUAGGGUUAGGGUUAGGGUUAGGGUUGGAGUUAGGGUUAGUGUUGGAGCUAGGGUUAGGGUUGGGCUUGGAGCUAGGAUUUUUCUGAGUGCACUGAACCAACUCCCGAGUUUCUAGGACGUUCCUAAAAAAAUUUGAUUUUUUCCCAUAGGAAUGCAUGGGUUAGGGUUAGGGUUAGGGUUGGAGCUAGGGUUAGGGUUAGGGUUAGGGUUGGAGUUAGGGUUAGUGUUGGAGCUAGGGUUAGGGUUGGGCUUGGAGCUAGGAUUUUUCUGAGUGCACUGAACCAACUCCCGAGUCUCUAGGACGUUCCUAAAAAAAUUUGAUUUUUUCCCAUAGGAAUGCAUGGGUUAGGGUUAGGGUUAGGGUUGGAGCUAGGGUUAGGGUUAGGGUUAGGGUUGGAGUUAGGGUUAGUGUUGGAGCUAGGGUUAGGGUUGGGCUUGGAGCUAGGAUUUUUCUGAGUGCACUGAACCAACUCCCGAGUCUCUAGGACGUUCCUAAAAAAAUUUGAUUUUUU
RNAcentral lists this long non-coding RNA (17932 nucleotides) under Xyrichtys novacula (pearly razorfish). The record is from RNAcentral. Lineage: Eukaryota; Metazoa; Chordata; Actinopteri; Labriformes; Labridae.